Molecule: long non-coding RNA, 380 nt
Filed under: Cyanistes caeruleus (blue tit)
Lineage: Eukaryota; Metazoa; Chordata; Aves; Passeriformes; Paridae
Description: lncRNA (ENSCCEG00000003987.1)
Source: RNAcentral
UGUUUCCGUGUGAGUUCCGGUUGUUUCCGUGUGAAUUCCGGGUGUUUUUGUGUGAAUUCCGUGUGUUUCCGUGAGUUCCGGCUGUUCCUGGGGUGGUUUCCGUGAGUUCCGGCUGUUCCUGGGGUGGUUUCUGUGUGAGUUCCGGUUGUUUCCGUGUGAGUUCCUGUGGUGGUUUUUGGGUGAAUUCCGGCUGUUUCCGUGCGAGUUCCGGGUGUUUCCGCGAGCUCCGGCUGUUCCUGGGCUGCCCCCGCAGCCGGGGGGCUCGCGGGGUCCCUCUGAGCGCGCCGUUGCCGGGCAGGUGGCGCGGGCCGGGCGUUUCGGCACCAAGGGCUUGGCCAUCACCUUCGUGUCGGACGAGAACGACGCCAAAAUCCUCAACG